UGGUCCAUCCUAAUCCCUGCUGAUCAGUCAGUGAUCUGCCAGGCUUCGCUUGUGGACCAGAGCAUCCUAGAAGCCCUGCCAGAGCUAAGCGAGGCCUUUUUAGGCUUGUGCCAGUGGCGCUUCUGAACACAU
Molecule: small nucleolar RNA, 132 nt
Filed under: Microtus ochrogaster (prairie vole)
Lineage: Eukaryota; Metazoa; Chordata; Mammalia; Rodentia; Cricetidae
Source: RNAcentral